This 752-nucleotide ribosomal RNA is filed under the name Winogradskyella sp. a324. RNAcentral describes it as "bacterial SSU rRNA". It matches the Rfam family "Bacterial small subunit ribosomal RNA", at positions 97 to 850 of the family's 1533-position model. Lineage: Bacteria; Pseudomonadati; Bacteroidota; Flavobacteriia; Flavobacteriales; Flavobacteriaceae. The record is from RNAcentral.
GGCGCACGGGUGAGUAACGCGUAUACAAUCUGCCUUUUACAGGGGGAUAGCCUUUAGAAAUGAAGAUUAAUAUCCCAUAGUAAGUUGUUAUUGCAUGAUAGUAACUUUAAAGUUUCGGCGGUAAAAGAUGAGUAUGCGUUCUAUUAGCUAGAUGGUGUGGUAACGGCACACCAUGGCGACGAUAGAUAGGGGCCCUGAGAGGGGGAUCCCCCACNCUGGUACUGAGACACGGACCAGACUCCUACGGGAGGCAGCAGUGAGGAAUAUUGGACAAUGGGCGAGAGCCUGAUCCAGCCAUGCCGCGUGCAGGAAGACUGCCCUAUGGGUUGUAAACUGCUUUUAUACAGGAAGAAACCUUUUCACGUGUGAAAAGCUGACGGUACUGUAAGAAUAAGGAUCGGCUAACUCCGUGCCAGCAGCCGCGGUAAUACGGAGGAUCCAAGCGUUAUCCGGAAUCAUUGGGUUUAAAGGGUCCGUAGGUUGAUAAUUAAGUCAGGGGUGAAAGUUUGCAGCUCAACUGUAAAAUUGCCUUUGAUACUGGUUAUCUUGAAUUAUUGUGAAGUGGUUAGAAUAUGUAGUGUAGCGGUGAAAUGCAUAGAUAUUACAUAGAAUACCAAUUGCGAAGGCAGAUCACUAACAAUAUAUUGACACUGAUGGACGAAAGCGUGGGGAGCGAACAGGAUUAGAUACCCUGGUAGUCCACGCCGUAAACGAUGGAUACUAGCUGUUCGGUUUUCGGACUGAGUGGCUAA